GCUUACGGCCACACCGCCUGGUAUACGCUUGAUCUCGGAAGAUAAGGUAGGUUGGGCCUGGUUAGUACUUGGAUGGGGGAGACCGCCUGGGAAUACCAGGUGCUGUAAGCU
This 111-nucleotide ribosomal RNA is filed under the name Scophthalmus maximus (turbot). Lineage: Eukaryota; Metazoa; Chordata; Actinopteri; Pleuronectiformes; Scophthalmidae. The record is from RNAcentral.